GUCCAGACUCCUACGGGAGGCAGCAGUGGGGAAUAUUGGACAAUGGGCGAAAGCCUGAUCCAGCCAUGCCGCAUGAGUGAAGAAGGCCUUUGGGUUGUAAAGCUCUUUUAGUGAGGAAGAUAAUGACGGUACUCACAGAAGAAGUCCUGGCUAACUCCGUGCCAGCAGCCGCGGUAAUACGGAGAGGGCUAGCGUUAUUCGGAAUUAUUGGGCGUAAAGGGCGCGUAGGCGGAUUAGUAAGUUAAAAGUGAAAUCCCAAGGCUCAACCUUGGAAUUGCUUUUAAAACUGCUAAUCUAGAGAUUGAAAGAGGAUAGAGGAAUUCCUAGUGUAGAGGUGAAAUUCGUAAAUAUUAGGAGGAACACCAGUGGCGAAGGCGUCUAUCUGGUUCAAAUCUGACGCUGAGGCGCGAAGGCGUGGGGAGCAAACAGGAUUAGAUACCCUGGUAGUCCACGCUGUAAACGAUGAAUGUUAAAUAUGGGAAGUUUUACUUUCUGUAUUACAGCUAACGCGUUAAACAUUCCGCCUGGGGACUACGGUCGCAAGAUUAAAACUCAAAGGAAUUGACGGGGACCCGCACAAGCGGUGGAGCAUGUGGUUUAAUUCGAUGCAACGCGAAAAACCUUACCACUCCUUGACAUGGAAAUUAUACCUAUUCGAAGGGAUAGGGUCGGUUCGGCCGGGUUUCACACAGGUGUUGCAUGGCUGUCGUCAGCUCGUGUCGUGA
This 725-nucleotide ribosomal RNA is filed under the name uncultured bacterium. RNAcentral's name for it is "bacterial SSU rRNA". It matches the Rfam family "Bacterial small subunit ribosomal RNA", at positions 329 to 1070 of the family's 1533-position model. The record is from RNAcentral.